GUAGAUACAUUCUUGCUGGGUAUAGUUACUUUAUUCUUUAAAUGGUUCACAGGUGCUGGUUCACACUCCUUGGUAACUUUUUGACCUAAUUCUGUCUCCAGGAUUCCAUGUCUCUUAACUGAACUGACUUUGAAAUAUGGGAAAGCUUAAAAAGAAGGGUUAACUGGUGAUUCAAAGGACUUUCCUUUAAAGGGAACCCUCCAAAGUUAUUAUAAGACAAAAAUCCCAUAUCUCCAAAAAUAACUGUUUAUUGCCUUGGAAUUGGGCUUGUGGAUAUAAGCAGUUUACAUGCUGAUCUAUGGGAGUGGUAAUUCUUGAUGAAAUUCUUGUUGAAAUUCAGUCUGUGUAGUUGACAUUUUGGUGAAGGAGUUGACUUUUGUCUCUUUCUGCUUCUUAGAAACUCUUGCUGUGCUCAUCAGGACUUUUGUGUCCAUCAGAGAAUCAGAGAGAACAGGUUCUGUCUGUCCAGUUCUCCAAGAUUAGUUCUCAGGAGCCAUGUAAAUGGCCCCAGAGAAUUUGAGCUUUAAAGUCAACAUUUGUUUGAUUUCAUAGACAUCCCUUGGAAAGAUUAUCUCAGAUUACUGGAAGACUUUAUUGUUAAAGUUUUAGAGAAUUUUGCAUUCUGCC
This 627-nucleotide long non-coding RNA is filed under the name Bos taurus (domestic cattle). RNAcentral's name for it is "long non-coding RNA NONBTAT013739". Lineage: Eukaryota; Metazoa; Chordata; Mammalia; Artiodactyla; Bovidae. The record is from RNAcentral.